Long non-coding RNA from Clupea harengus (Atlantic herring), 1058 nucleotides. RefSeq lists it as uncharacterized. The transcript has 2 exons. The record is from RefSeq and is a predicted model, not a curated record. NCBI's taxonomy places the organism in Eukaryota, Metazoa, Chordata, Actinopteri, Clupeiformes, Clupeidae.
UUUUUUUGUCUGGCUUCCUCCAAAGGCCUGAACCCAAUGCAGAGCAGACAGAGAGCGGCUUGCCCCGUGUCCCUUGUGCACAUCACCCAGUCCCAUCCUCUGCAUGAUGUGGAAAACCAGAUGUGAUGAUGUGAGCCAGAUGGGCCUCAUCCCCUUGUCCUGAAUGUAUUAAGAGAAGAUUGCCAUAAUGAAGAGACGAUAAGGAUUGUAAAUGUGCUAAACUGACACUCCUCUACAGAUGGGCCUCAUCCCCUUGUCCUAAAUGUAUUAGAGAAGGUUGCCAUAAUGAAGAGACGAUAAGGAUUGUUUGUAGACCUUGGGCAAUUAUUAAUUGUAUCAAAUGCACUUUUAUUCUUAAAAAGAGAAAGGAUUCCCCUGGUGUUCCAAAAACAUAUUAUUUAUUAGGACCAACAUUUUUUUUUUAAUCACAAGUCCCUUGGAUUCCUUGGGUGAGAAGGUUUUGAGUGUUAAAUUAUUAAAUAGGACCUAUUACGCUCAUUUUCAAUGUUCAUAAUUUAAUUUUUGGGGUCCGUUGUUCCGAAAACACAUUUCUUAGGACCAAAGCUGUUUUUCAGAUCACCAGUCAGUUUACCAGUGUGUGGUGAACAGUUUAACAGUUUACCAGUGUGUGUGGGAAUGAGUUUCUAAAUUCUAUACCAGUCCAUAUGCUUGCUGAAGGUGAGGAUUCAUUAAGGAAGACAUCCAAACCGUCAGCACCCAUCACAAUGUGCCUUAUGUGUUAAUCUCACUCAUUUUGUAGAGAUGCAUAAUGUCAUUUUUGAUCACUGACCACUCAGAUUCUCUGGCCCAGAAAGCCAGUUUACAAAGCUGCUGUAUGCCAAAUACCUGUAACAGCUGAGCAAAGUUCACAUUGUUUAUAUGAAGGGAACAGUAAAUGGUGACACAUUUCUAUUCAUGUGCACUGAUUUUGUUACUUUUUUUGUUACUGAUUUUAUUACCUGUAGACAAUCAGCUCUGUCAUCAGUACAUUGAAUAACUUAAAAAAGCUCUGUUACAUUUUGAUAUGACAAUUUUUCUGGCAAUAAAAGUGUACAUAA